RNAcentral lists this long non-coding RNA (665 nucleotides) under Eutrema salsugineum. RNAcentral's name for it is "long non-coding RNA (ESAL_LNC000368)". Lineage: Eukaryota; Viridiplantae; Streptophyta; Magnoliopsida; Brassicales; Brassicaceae. The record is from RNAcentral.
UUCUGGCUAAGUCCGGAUUCAUCAAUCUCUUUACCCGCUGUUUUAAUUUCAUGUCGGAAAUGCUUGAUGUUCUUAUAAGUUUUGUUUCAGAUUUCAUAUUGCUUGGAGUAAUAUCUUCGUUGUUUAUUCCUCUUGUUCAUACCAGAGCAACGAUGGACACAGAUGAGAUCAAUAGACUGGGUCUAAUCGGCGACAGAGCAUCCGUGAAGUUUCAGAUUGGAAUAAAGCUUUGAAGCUGUUUGGUAACAGCUUGUUUCAUUCCGGCAACUAUGUUUCAGGACUGAAGAUCGGCAGGCUUAGAUGUUACACAAGCAUGGAGGUUGUUGGAGUAAUUGAAGUAAAAGCUGGUGGUGGUGAACAGUCACGGCGGUGAAGUCAGCAAUGUUCAACUGAAGCUGGUGACAACAUAAGAGAUGACUCAUCUCUCUUAUUCCUAGAAACAGACAUGUGGCUGUGAUAUUUACUCGUGUUUGAUACUGAAGCUGUAAUAUAAUUUUUCUAUGUGGUGUUUCUGGGCCUAUAUAUAUUACGUGUAUCCAUUAUGAGUUUCAUAAUGAAAUGAAUGGCCGACAAAAAAAAAAGUAACUUCAACCUUAAACCAUACCUCUUAGAGUAUUUUCAAAUCUCUCAUGAAGUUUUUAACAUUUUUUAAAUAAUAUAAUUUU